RNAcentral lists this long non-coding RNA (6864 nucleotides) under Marmota monax (woodchuck). Lineage: Eukaryota; Metazoa; Chordata; Mammalia; Rodentia; Sciuridae. The record is from RNAcentral.
AUAAGUUUCCAGUGUGCAUGGAACAUGCUCCAUUGACUUUUAUCAGGUAACUAGACUCAAUCAAUAUUUUUGAUAUAUUGAUCUGAUCAAAAGAAAUGCUUUGACAUCAAGUAAGAACCUUAAAUGUAAAAAUAAUCCUCAAAUAUGUAGAACAUUCCUGAGUCAAAGAUGAAAAAAGUCAGGUGUCUACUCCUUCUGCCUAGUACUUCAGCCACACUGCCAAAAAGAGAAUGCAUGAAUUCUUUAGAUGACUCAAGAUAAAAAAUAAAUAAAUAAAAGAAAAAAAUAAAACAUAGACACAAUUUAAUCUGGCCUUAAUUAGUCCCAGUGAACAGGAUUUUGGGAUUUUGAACAAUUCCCUCAAGAUUUCUAGUAUGUAUCCAUAGAAAUGGUUUUUGGCUUUGUUGAAUUCUCUAAUAUGCUCUCUCUCUCUCUCUCUCUCUCUCUCUCUCUCUCUCUCUCUCUCUUCUCCUUCCCUCCAUCCCUCCCUCCCUCUCUCUCCCUCUGUGUGUGUGUGUAUGUGUGUGUGUGUGUAUUUAUUCCUAAAUUGUAAUAUGAGAUGGCUUUAAUUACUGAGACUCUAUUAUGUGGCAGCUGUAUCAUUUAUAUUACUCCAUUCAUUUUGAUAACAUUCCCAUAAGAAAAGAAUUAUCAGAAUGAUAUUACAGACAAGGAAACCAAAGCCAAAGAGAUUAAAUAACCUUUUCAAGGUCUGAAACUGGGGAGUUUUUUAGCUGGAUUUGAACCUAGAUUCAAAGUUAAUCCCUUUUUAAAAGAAAAAAAAAUUGUACAUUGCAGCCAAGCAUUUUGACACUCACCUAUAAUUCCAGCUGCUUAGGAGGCUCUGGCAGGAGGAUUUCAAGACUGAGGCCAGCCUGGGCAACUUAGUGAGAUCCUGUCAAAAUAAAAAAAAAAUUAAAAAAAAAGUAGCUGGGGUUUUAGCACAGUAGUAGAUCACUUGCCUAGCAUAUACACAGUAGCCUGGCUUUAGCACAGUAGUAGAUCACUUGCCUAGUGUAUCCACAGGUUCAAUUUCCAGUAUUGGGAGGAAAAAAGUGACAUUGCUACUUUUAGGUUAGGGACUGUUAAUAGUCCCAGCAGUAUGAUUUUUAUUUUCCAGGAGUUCAGUCAUCUCACUAUGCCCUAAUCCUUAUAAUCAAAAGAAGCAAUUCUGUGGCUGGCUGCCAGAGGCAGGGGUGCAGUCAUGAUGAUAGACAUCAAGUUGGCCAUCACUGAGUUGUUUAUCCUGCACCUAGCCCUAUGCUGAGCCUAAUGGAACCUGCAAAACACUGCAAAAUUUAGUCUCCUUCCCCAAUAAAUUACAUUGAACAGAGAUUGUUUCUUUUUUAAAUUACUGUAUUUCCCAAGUGUUUCACCAGUGGCAAUUGAAAUGAUUUUAGGUGGUCCACUGAACCCAUAUUAAGUAAUCUUAAGUCUCAAAGAGCAAUGCAGUGCCUUUUCUCUCUCCGAUAACAAUAACUAUCAAGGAGAAUGGCUCAGUUUGGCGCUUGUGUGCUUUUAAAACUGCUGCUAACCUCUUUUGCCAAUAAAAUAAAGGGAAGCAUUUGGCUCAGAGCCUUUGGCAAGCAAUCAACAAAGCAUUUAUUUUAUUGGUAUCCUCUAUUAGUGACAAUUGGUACUAAUUUUUCAUUUCUGAUAGUGAUAUAAAUUUUUCUAAGUUAAUUUAAGGUAAAAGUGAGUCAGUUAAAAUAUUUUUAAAUUAAUAGUAUAGAAAUAUAUCAAUAAUGCAUAUUGAAUAGCAAUACAAAAAUAUGGCAAGAAAGUCAAACCUGGAAGAUGAAUGACUUGAAAUACUACCAAAAAGAACAGGCAGGUUAUAGGCAGCCUAUCCUGUAUUCUCUCCUGGAUCAGGCUUGGCCCCAGCUCAGUUACAGGGAAAGGCUGUCUCUUAUUUCUUCUGUGAAGAAUGAAUGGAAGUGAAAUAUUCUUUUCUGUAGAACAGAUUUUUUUGUGAACCAAAAAUUAUUCAUGUAAGUCUCAUUCUUAGUAAUUAGAUGCUAUCAUAAAAAAAAAAAAGUGGUCAGUAAGUGAUUUUUCUUUCCAGGCAAACUAUAAAUAAUCUUUGGAAAUAAAACCAAGUUGGUUCUAACAAGAUAAAGAUAAUAAACCUUGAAAUCAUGGUUCCAGUAAUUAAGAGUUUCAUUAGGGAAGAUUAAACAAGAAUAAGCAGGUAAUACAUUUGCUAUUUAGUUGCAAAAAAUAAGGAGGGCUAUGCAUCUUGCACAACCUUUCUCUUUAUAAUGCAAAUAUGGAAUCAUAAGAAGAACUUUCUUGCCAGUGUUGACUGAGAAUGUAUGCUCCUUAUGAAGCAAAAAUCCCAAAUCCAAAGCUUUAUUAUUUUGUCCCAUUAUCUAGCUUUAUACACCUUGUAUGUGGGGACACUCCUACAACAGUUCCUACAGGGUGGAAUUUGUCUCUCUGCUAUUGGAACAUGGGACAAAUGGUCCCUGAAAAUUUGCUAAUUGAAUUAAUGAAGGCUGACACUUAAGCUCCUGAAACUGAUUUAUAUAAUCAUUCUUGAGAGAUAUCCUUUCAUAAUGUCUUUUGCCUUUCCCCAAGUUCUAAAACAGACCUUACAAUAUGACUUGACACUAUCUUGAUGCAUCAAUUUGUCACUAUGAAAAUUAACAAAUAAAUCUCAAUUAUACAACUUCUGAUAUCUGGAGUGCUAGGAGAGUUUCAUGAAGUUGUUUACCCAUGCUAAAUGGCCUCAGGUGAACUAACUGUCAUAUAUAUAUAUAUUUAGUACCAGGUAUUGAACCCAGGGGUGCGCAACCACUGAGCCACAUCCCCAGCCAUUUCUUGUCAUGGGGGAUAAUAAAAGACAGGGUCUCAUUAAGUUGCUUAGGGCCUUGCUCAGUUGCUGAGGUUGGCUUUGAACUCAGGAUCCUCCUGCCUCAGCAGCCUAAACUGCUGGGAUUAUAGGGGAGUACCACCACUCCCAGCAAAUGGUCCAAACUCUUGGUAGUAUUUUAUAUUUAUCUUUAUCUACCCUUUUUGCAAUAUUGUCAGUUGUCAUUAUGGUUCACCAUCAAGGUACCUGAUUUUGGCAACUUCAUUUAAAACUUCUGGAAAAUGAAGUGCCCUGGAGAGGCAAUGGGAAAACUCUUCUAUGACAUUAUCCCUGCAGCAUAAGCAUAAUACAUAGGCUUUAUGAUAUCUACUUUAGCUACUGAGAACUAAGUUCUGUACUUCCUUCCCAGGCAUGUCCCACAUAGUCAAGGUUUCUAGACAAAUUAUCUGAACAAAUGAGAUGCUUGUGUAAAUAAUACAUACAACCUAACCCUAUUUUAAAGCACAUUAAUUUUUCAGUUUGAAUUCAUUCCUGUUUCAAAUUAUUUUGCCAGGAAGAGACUAUUCUGCCCAAAUAUUUCAUUCAGAAACUAUGAAGUUCUUUAUAUUCAGAUCUCCAUGCAUCCUGCUGACACGUUUCAUUUUGGCAGAGGAUGUUCAUCUUUCAAAGUUUUGAUUCUCAUUAAAACAAAAAUCAAACCUCCAUCAACAAAAGCAACCUACUAACUCCCACCAGUGAGUUAGGCUUCUACCAUGGAGGCAUUCUUGAUCCUUUCUUGGUGGUGAGUUUUGAUGGCUAUCCUGGCCCUAUUACAUGUGGGGAACUCUUGCUGCAGCCCUCAGUGUCCCGCAGAGUUUGACUCAUGCUCACUUCUAAGACCAUCUCAUGCUCUCUCGCCUGGCUCAGGGUCUCCCAGGCAGGUGGGCCUCCUUCCAUUAGGGCUUUCACAAUGCCAACCCUCUGUCCUUUCAGGACCUCUGUUGUGCUGUUCCCUCUGCCCACAUCCCUCUCUCCUCUGGCUUUUCACACAGCUUCACUAUCACCCCCCCCACCCCCACCCCCGCCAUCACAGAGGCCUCCUUUGAACAGUUAUUGAAAUUCAAUCUUCCUUACAGAUUAAUUUCUCUUGUUAUGUAGUUUUUUCUCCAUGAUUUUACCAUAGCUUAAAAUUAUUUGUGUUGGUUUGUUCCUUUUUCCUGUCUUUUCUUUUAUAUUUUAUAGUUCCUGAUGGCAAACCCUGGGUCUACUCAAAGACCAUUCUAUCUCCAGUGUAUGGCACAGUAGGCCUUCAACACAAGCUAGUGCAAAGAAGGCAGGAUGAUGCCUCUGGGCUCCUGAAAAGUGAGCUCAUGAGGGAAGAAUGAAGAAGGAGCUCACCUGGGAGAUAGAAAUGAUGACAAAAAAAAAAUCCCAAUGUAUCCAAAAAAGAAAACAUAUGAGAAAGAGAGCAGAGCAUAAGGUGACAGAGGGAACCACUCUCAUUCUUAGUGUUUGGAGGAUGACAGGAAAAGAUGACACUUUUCCCAGGAAAGAGUGGGAAAUCUGUUGACUGGAGAAGGGGCAACACAGGCUUCUUAAAGAUGGUGGAUGGGACUUAGCAUCAACCAAUGUUUGCCAUGAAGAAAUAAGAAGCCAGUAUGGCCACAGAUUGACCUUUUUUUUUUCCAACAGAAGAUAGACAUCUAAAUUUCUAUAUUAAUUCUGGUAUCUAAUAUGAAUUCUAUGAUCUUAAUUUCUAUAUGAAUGCUGGCUGUAAUGCUGGAAACUAACUCAAUUUUUUUUUAAAUUAGGAGUCAAUAUUUACUGAGUUAAACAUUCCUAUCUGAGUUUCCAUUGUGUGAUCCAUGCUUUCAUGAAAAUCUUUAUUUCCUUUACAGGUUUUCCUAGAGGCAAAACCUGUUAAAAGUAUUUAAUAACUCCCAGCAUCCCUUCCCACCAUUUGUAAUUCAAAUGGCUUAAUAUUCAACUUUUCCAAGAAAAGCAAAUACCAUUGCUUUGAGUUCCAAGUUCCAAAUCCAUCUUUGUCCCCAAAUCUCUCUUUAAUAUACCUUGCUUAUUUCAUUCAUUAUGUAUAGCCCACACCCAGCACCGGGGAUAAAAUUGAAAAUAAUACAUACAUAUUCUUGCCCUCCUUGAACUUCUAUGUCAUGGCAAACAUAGAGAGAUGGACAGCAGUUAGAAGCUACCACCCAGAGCUUAUUAGUGCUUGCCAUGAUUUCUCCUUCUCCAUCAUUCCUCAUACCAGAUCAAUCCUUGAGUCAAACAGAUUCUCAAAUCUCUCAAAGCUCUCCACUCCUUUUUUUCUUUAUACCCACUGCUAUUGCUAAAGCCCAAGUAAAUAUAGGUUUUAUUUAAAGAAGAAAAAAUAGCAUUCUAAUUUACCUCCUUCUUUCUGUCCUUUGGCCACCUGCCACAGUCCACCUUCAACAUAAUGGCCAGCAUGAUCCCCUUUAAAAACAAGUUGGAUCAUGUCAUGUCUCUACUCAAAACUCUUCAACAGUGUCCUUGGUAAAGUUCUUUCAUUGACCUUCAAUGUCCUAGAUCUGGCCUCAUUCCCUCUCUUACUGUGUUCUGCCUCACCGACAUGGUUUCAGCUACCCUGGCCUCCUCAAACACAAACACACCUACCUCAAAGCCUUUGUCCUUGCUCUUUUCUGCCUAGCAUAGUCUUCUCCCAGAUGUCCUGGCAGCUCACUUUCUUGCUGCCUUUAGGUGUCUACUCAGAUGUCAUUCUGUCACCACAGUCUGCCCUAUGCACUUUACAGAAUGUAGCAGCACCUCUCCCUGUGUUGUUCAUUCCUUAUUCUGCUUCACUUUUCUUGAUCACACUUGGCACUCUCUUACAAACUAUUUAGUUAUGUGUUUAUUCCCUUAUUGUCUAUACCUAUCAUUGGAACAUAAGCUCCAAGAGGACUGGAUUGGAAUACUAAGCAGUGUCUCUGUGUAGGCACAUUUAAUGUUAUCCCUGAAGGGUAAGUAGGACAUGCCAGGCUGUAGUGGACUGGUGUGUUUGCAUGCAUGUGUGUACACAUGUGUGUGAGAAAGUGUGUGUGAAUGUGUUAAGGCUUGGAGGCAAAGGAGAGUACAAUGGCUUUGAGCAUCUGAAAUGUAUCUGAGCUAUACCUGUAUGACAAUAACAGAAUGAAUGAAAUGAGACAGAAAUAAAUAAUUCAAUAACAAGAGUUUGGAACUAUGGAAAACUUGGGUACUUGCAUUCUUGGAUACUCACUAGUACAGGAAUGCUGGACUUGUAUUAUCAGAUCUUUUGAUUUUUUAAGACAAACUGGAUUUUGACGAUUCCAAACAAAACAUGUCCAUAGCAGGCACACUCCCAACAAUUAACUUUCAACCUCUGACAUCCACAGUAAGAUACAAACUUUUAGCCUCAAUGCCUGUCUUCUAUGUCUAUUGCUUCAAUGCUAUUGAACUCAAUAGUAGUAUUCAUAUCUACACAACUUAAUACAAGUGAAUAUUCUCGAAUUUUUGACUCUCUUUUCCCUUUAUUUCUGAUCAAGUUUUUUUGUUGUUGUUUUGUUUUUAAGGGAGCAGAUGGCCUUUGUCUCCCUGAACCAAUAUGGAUUGUCACUCUCCUCUCCUUGGAAGCUACCACUCCCUGUAAAGCUACUCCGUUGGAACUCACACUUGACCAGAGUCACAUUGGCAGGCGGCUAUAGUUUUUCUGUGCUGGGUUUAUAACUCUUUUGUUCAACUUGUAGUUAGGUUUUAAAACUUAAUGCAAAAAUUAUCCUUUUUGUGUUCCUGAUUUUUUGCUUUGAAAAAUUGACAAAGGAUGAUGUAUGUUUUCAUAAAAGGAAAUUGUCAAGAUAAGUUUGUCACUCCCUGUUUUCAUAGGCUAAUGAUUUUCCCAGUUUGUUGUCAUCUAGAACAAGGGUCAGCAAACCAUGGCCUAAGGGCCAGAUCUGCCCAGUCACCAAUUUUUGUGUAAUCUCAGAUCUAAUAAUGGUUAUUACAUCUUAAAUGUUGGAAAACAUUGGAAGAAUAAUAAUAUUUUGUAACCCAGGAAAAAUCUAAUAAAAUUUAUAUUUCAG